RNAcentral lists this long non-coding RNA (1371 nucleotides) under Mus spicilegus (steppe mouse). Its description in RNAcentral is "lncRNA (ENSMSIG00000028241.1)". The record is from RNAcentral. Lineage: Eukaryota; Metazoa; Chordata; Mammalia; Rodentia; Muridae.
UAUUUGCCAAAGCCUUUUCUUCUUAGUGGGGCAGUUUUCAGAUUGACUUUCAAACCAAGUUAUCCUCUCUGUGUCUGCCUUUCUUUCCACAGCCCUCCUCUUUGCUCCCUGUCUGAAGUCUGCAUAUUCCAUGAAUCCUUGAGGGAGCCUGAUUCUUAUAAGGUGUCAAAUUGGGGGCUGUGGUCAGAAUCACAGAAUGCAAAACUGUGUCUAACUAGAGGACACAGAGAAGAGUCUGGGUGUUUCAGAAGACUGAAGGAUUGGUGACAAUAUUUUGGUUAAGAUACCAAUUUUGAUGUUCACCGUUGUUGGGUCCAGCUUGCAGCUGGGAAAUCUUUUGUUGAUAGAAGGGAAUAUGGGGGAUUCUUGCUGCGUUUGGAGAGAGUACUUGAUUGCUGAUUAAAAUCUGCAUCGCUAAUGCAAACCUGAACCUUUCAGGAAGCAGGCUGUGAGAAGUCCUAAUUAGUGUGAAAUUAUAUUUCCCAGAGAUGUUGCAGCCCAGAUCCACACAGACCUACAGCACUGUGAUUCCCUAGGUAGGGCAAGUGUUCCCCUGCAUCAGGCAUUUGUGAUUGCGUGGCCUUGAACUUAGGUUCUAGUGUAAUUUCCCUGCCCCUCACUCCCAGCCCCUGAAAACCACUCUCAUGUCCUCAAAUGAGAGGCAUUCACUGUUCUCCCCCAUGUUGAGAACAACUCAGUUCCUAGUAGGCCUGUGAAUUCAUCCUCAGGCCUUUCCUUAUAAACCAGGCAAGUGUAUUUAACAGAUCAACAGCUGUUGUCAGACUAUAGCCACUGGGUGGAGGGGGCACCUAAGGUUUCAAGGAAUUCUCUUACUCAGGCAGGGGUCACUAAAGGAACCACAACAGUGUCUCCCUUGGAGAAAAGGAAAGGAAUCACCACCAUUUAAGAACGCCACAGCAUUCCCUUCAGAUACUGUCCGUGUGUGAGUUACACAUGCCAACUGCCAGAAUUUCAGGAAGAGAUUAUCCGCUAGAGCUAAAUCAGAUCUUUAAGUGGCAUCAUGGAAGCUCACCUUUCACCACGUAUCAAGCUGGACUCUGUGCAAACACCAGAAGAAGUCCAGAGAUCCACAGUCAAAAGAACCAGAAGAAAGCAGAUUAGGAUUGGAGCUGAAAUCAUCAUUGUUUGAAUCCAAUCUCCAGUAUUUACUUAUCUCUGUGAUAAAAACAAACCAUGCAACUGCUCGAUUGUACAUUUUUUCAUCAUCUACAUAAUGAGGACAAUUAAUAUCUCCUGAGGUUGUCAGGGAGCUUAAAUGAUGGAUAUCCAAGUACUGCCUGUAAAGUCUUGCCCAACUUGAGGCAUUCCUGAACUGUACUUAGGGCCAGUAACCACAUGGAGGGGGGUGGG